UACAGAGGGUGCAAGCGUUGUUCGGAAUUAUUGGGCGUAAAGGGAGUGUAGGCGGUUCUCUAAGUCUAUUGUGAAAUCUUCGGGCUUAGCCUGACAAAGUGCAGUGGAAACUGGAGAACUAGAGUGUCGGAGAGGAAAGCGGAAUUCCCGGUGUAGAGGUGAAAUUCGUAGAGAUCGGGAGGAACACCAGUGGCGAAGGCGGCUUUCUGGCUGACAACUGACGCUGAGACUCGAAAGCAUGGGGAGCAAACAGG
RNAcentral lists this ribosomal RNA (254 nucleotides) under uncultured bacterium. RNAcentral's name for it is "partial 16S ribosomal RNA". It matches the Rfam family "Bacterial small subunit ribosomal RNA", at positions 524 to 776 of the family's 1533-position model. The record is from RNAcentral.